UGCCAGCCGCCGCGGUAAUACGAAGGGGGCUAGCGUUGUUCGGAAUUACUGGGCGUAAAGCGCACGUAGGCGGAUCAGAAAGUUAGGGGUGAAAUCCCGGGGCUCAACCCCGGAACUGCCUCUAAAACUCCUGGUCUUGAGUACGGAAGAGGUGAGUGGAAUUCCCAGUGUAGAGGUGAAAUUCGUAGAUAUUGGGAAGAACACCAGUGGCGAAGGCGGCUCACUGGUCCGUAACUGACGCUGAGGUGCGAAAGCGUGGGGAGCAAACAGGAUUAGAUA
This 279-nucleotide ribosomal RNA is filed under the name uncultured bacterium. Its description in RNAcentral is "partial 16S ribosomal RNA". It matches the Rfam family "Bacterial small subunit ribosomal RNA", at positions 506 to 784 of the family's 1533-position model. The record is from RNAcentral.